Non-coding RNA from Rhododendron simsii, 140 nucleotides. The record is from the annotation of a GenBank genome assembly. Lineage: Eukaryota; Viridiplantae; Streptophyta; Magnoliopsida; Ericales; Ericaceae.
GCGAUCAUACCAGCACUAAUGCACCGGAUCCCAUCAGAACUCCGCAGUUAAGCGUGCUUGGGCGAGAGUUAACAACAAUACCCGGAACACUCACGAAGAGACGAGCGAGAUUGGCGGGAGGGUAGGAAAGAGAGGAAGGA